GGUGAACGCUGGCGGUAGGCCUAACACAUGCAAGUCGAACGGCAGCACAGUAAGAGCUUGCUCUUACGGGUGGCGAGUGGCGGACGGGUGAGGAAUACAUCGGAAUCUACUUUUUCGUGGGGGAUAACGUAGGGAAACUUACGCUAAUACCGCACAAGACCUACGGGUGAAAGCAGGGGAUCUUCGGACCUUGCGCGAUUGAAUGAGCCGAUGUCGGAUUAGCUAGUUGGCGGGGUAAAGGCCCACCAAGGCGACGAUCCGUAGCUGGUCUGAGAGGAUGAUCAGCCACACUGGAACUGAGACACGGUCCAGACUCCUACGGGAGGCAGCAGUGGGGAAUAUUGGACAAUGGGCGCAAGCCUGAUCCAGCCAUACCGCGUGGGUGAAGAAGGCCUUCGGGUUGUAAAGCCCUUUUGUUGGGAAAGAAAAGCAGCAGGUUAAUACCCCGCUGUUCUGACGGUACCCAAAGAAUAAGCACCGGCUAACUUCGUG
This 492-nucleotide ribosomal RNA is filed under the name uncultured bacterium. Its description in RNAcentral is "partial 16S ribosomal RNA". It matches the Rfam family "Bacterial small subunit ribosomal RNA", at positions 28 to 507 of the family's 1533-position model. The record is from RNAcentral.